RNAcentral lists this ribosomal RNA (361 nucleotides) under uncultured Chloroflexus sp. RNAcentral's name for it is "bacterial SSU rRNA". It matches the Rfam family "Bacterial small subunit ribosomal RNA", at positions 20 to 386 of the family's 1533-position model. The record is from RNAcentral. Lineage: Bacteria; Bacillati; Chloroflexota; Chloroflexia; Chloroflexales; Chloroflexaceae.
UGGCUCAGGACGAACGCUGGCGGCGUGCCUAAUGCAUGCAAGUCGAACGCAGCAGGCGUGCCUGGCUGCGUGGCGAACGGCUGAGGAACACGUGGGUCACCUGCCCCGGAGUGGGGGAUACCCCGUCGAAAGACGGGACAAUCCCGCAUACGCUCCACGGAGGAAAGCCGCAAGGCGCUCCGGGAGGGGCCGUCGCGGCCCGACUCAGGUAGGUUGGUGGUGGUAACGGACGCACCAAGCCAACUAGACGGGUACCCGGGUCCGUGAGAGGACGACCGGGCGAGACUGGGACGUGAGAGAACGGCCCAGACUCCUACGGGAGGCAGCAGCAAGGAAUUUUCCCCAAUGGGCGCAAGCCUGA